CCUACGAGGAGCUGCAGUGAGGAAUAUUGGUCAAUGGGCGCGAGCCUGAACCAGCCAAGUAGCGUGAAGGAUGACUGCCCUACGGGUUGUAAACUUCUUUUAUAAAGGAAUAAAGUGAGGCACGUGUGCCUUUUUGUAUGUACUUUAUGAAUAAGGAUCGGCUAACUCCGUGCCAGCAGCCGCGGUAAUACGGAGGAUCCGAGCGUUAUCCGGAUUUAUUGGGUUUAAAGGGAGCGUAGAUGGGUUGUUAAGUCAGUUGUGAAAGUUUGCGGCUCAACCGUAAAAUUGCAAUUGAUACUGGCAGUCUUGAGUACAGUUGAGGUAGGCGGAAUUCGUGGUGUAGCGGUGAAAUGCUUAGAUAUCACGAAGAACCCCGAUUGCGAAGGCAGCUUACUAAACUGUGACUGACAUUGAUGCUCGAAAGUGUGGGUAUCAAACAGGAUUAGAUACCCCUGUAGUC
Molecule: ribosomal RNA, 460 nt
Filed under: uncultured bacterium
Lineage: Bacteria
Description: partial 16S ribosomal RNA
Rfam family: Bacterial small subunit ribosomal RNA
Source: RNAcentral